Long non-coding RNA from Pieris brassicae (large cabbage white), 885 nucleotides. RefSeq lists it as uncharacterized. The transcript has 3 exons. NCBI's taxonomy places the organism in Eukaryota, Metazoa, Arthropoda, Insecta, Lepidoptera, Pieridae. The record is from RefSeq and is a predicted model, not a curated record.
UCAAGAUGGUCACGCAUUUUAUUCACCACAAACGGUAGGUAAUAAAAGUCUGUGACUAUAAGCUAUUCAGCUUUUAUGAAAAGAUAUCGAAGAAUGGAGCAAAUAUUCUAGAAAUUGUGAGAAUGCAAUAUCUUCGCAGAAAUGUGGCCGAGGGUUAUUUAAAUUCAUUUUAAUAUCACUGUUGCAUAUUUCAUGUCAUUACAAGGGAUUGUAUGUUAUUGACAACCUUUACUCAGUUCUAGUAAAAUCCAACACAAAAUUUUAAAUACAGUCUAAUUUGUUGCCGUCUACUAUUAUUGUUGAGACUUUUGGGGAAAUAUUACGCACAUUUCUUGAAGGCCUGUAAGUCGUAUCAGUUAGGAACCUCUACCGGCAAUUCGUACAAGAGGUGGUGCUUAAAAGAAAGCGCCUUAAAAAUCGCUGUGUUGUCCAGGCAGAAGAAAAAAAUUCGCAUUACGCUUCGACGUCCGUUGAUGAAAUUCAGCCGCAAGUAUUUAUCCAAAAGUUUCUUCAGAGCAGUGUCAUUCAGCAUUUAACAAUUUAUGAUAUCAAGUCAACAUCGCAUCGUUAAAAAAUAUCUUGUACACAGGGGCGAAGCUGGUCCGGCCACUCUAGAUAUACAAUAAUAUGUAAUAUCCUGUGGGAACGAACAGGGAAUUAACCCCGACAUAAUGUUCCAAGACUUGGCAGGAUCUAGACGUUUCUAGGCGCCGUGAUAAAGAACUGGGCCUCGUGGAGAAACUUUUUGGUAAUUUGAUUUAUGUAAUGUAGACGUUACCUAAACGUGUUUAUAUAAUUACAUUGUUUUAACUUAGAAAUCUUUGUAUUGUGUGAUGAAUAAAGAUACAUGCUUUUGUUAAAACUGAAUAAAUGUAUAACCGUGUG